RNAcentral lists this ribosomal RNA (120 nucleotides) under Pteropus alecto (black flying fox). Lineage: Eukaryota; Metazoa; Chordata; Mammalia; Chiroptera; Pteropodidae. The record is from RNAcentral.
GUCUACAGCCAUGCUACUCUGAACAAGCUUAAUCCUGUCAGAUCUCAGUAGCUAAGCAGGAUCAGGGCCUGGUUAAUACUUGGAUGGGAGACCACCUAGGAAGACCAGGUGCUGUAGGUG